This 126-nucleotide transfer RNA is filed under the name Streptomyces scabiei. RNAcentral's name for it is "tRNA-OTHER". Lineage: Bacteria; Bacillati; Actinomycetota; Actinomycetes; Kitasatosporales; Streptomycetaceae. RNAcentral also lists the same sequence under 1 other name. The record is from RNAcentral.
AAAGGUGUUGUGACCUGCGGCGCAGAGUCUCGGGCAUUCUCGACCCGUCACCCUCAGACGAAUCCCAACACACUGCUAAUGCGGUUUGGGACUUCAAUCCCAUCGAGGGUUCAAAUCCCUCCGCCU